AGGCGGAUAUUUAAGUCAGGGGUGAAAUCCCAGAGCUCAACUCUGGAACUGCCUUUGAUACUGGGUAUCUUGAGUAUGGAAGAGGUAAGUGGAAUUCCGAGUGUAGAGGUGAAAUUCGUAGAUAUUCGGAGGAACACCAGUGGCGAAGGCGGCUUACUGGUCCAUUACUGACGCUGAGGUGCGAAAGCGUGGGGAGCAAACA
RNAcentral lists this ribosomal RNA (202 nucleotides) under uncultured bacterium. RNAcentral's name for it is "partial 16S ribosomal RNA". It matches the Rfam family "Bacterial small subunit ribosomal RNA", at positions 573 to 774 of the family's 1533-position model. The record is from RNAcentral.